AGCAGUCGCCGCGGGAAAACGUAGGUGGCAAGCGUUGUCCGGAAUUAUUGGGCGUAAAGGGCUCGCAGGCGGUUUCUUAAGUCUGAUGUGAGAGCCCCCGGCUCAACCGGGGAGGGUCAUUGGAAACUGGGAAACUUGAGUGCAGAAGAGGAGAGUGGAAUUCCACGUGUAGCGGUGAAAUGCGUAGAGAUGUGGAGGAACACCAGUGGCGAAGGCGACUCUCUGGUCUGUAACUGACGCUGAGGAGCGAAAGCGUGGGGAGCGAACAGGAUUAGAUACCCCAGUAGUCCCUGUCUCUUAUAC
This 303-nucleotide ribosomal RNA is filed under the name uncultured bacterium. RNAcentral's name for it is "partial 16S ribosomal RNA". It matches the Rfam family "Bacterial small subunit ribosomal RNA", at positions 507 to 807 of the family's 1533-position model. The record is from RNAcentral.